AGAGUUUGAUCCUGGCUCAGAACGAACGUUGGCGGCGUGGAUUAGGCAUGCAAGUCGAGCGAGGACAGUUCUUGUAGCAAUACUGGGGCUGAGUCGAGCGGCGUAAGGGGCAGUAAUACCUGGGGACGUACCCUCUGGUCGGGAAUAGCUACGAGAAAUUGUAGGUAAUGCCCGAUGAACCAGAGAUGGCAAAGGCUUGCCGCCGGAGGAGCGGCCCAGGCGAUAUUAGCUAGUUGGUGGGGUAGCGGCCUACCAAGGCGAAGAUGUCUAGCGGGUGUGAGAGCACGACCCGCGCCACUGGCACUGAGACACUGGCCAGACACCUACGGGUGGCUGCAGUCGAGGAUCUUCGGCAAUGAGCGCAAGCUUGACCGAGCGACGCCGCGUGCGGGAUGAAGGCCUUCGGGUUGUAAACCGCUUUGGUCCGGAAGUAAGGAAGGCGCAAGCUGACUUGAACGACCGGAGAAACAAGCACGGGCUAAGUUCGUGCCAGCAGCCGCGGUAAGACGAACCGUGCGAACGUUGUUCGGAAUCACUGGGCUUAAAGGGCGCGUAGGCGGCCGAGCGGGUCGUGGGUGAAAUCCCCCAGCUCAACUGGGGAACUGCCCACGCUACCACUGCGGCUGGAGGAAGGCAGGGGCAUUUGGAACUGUCGGUGGAGCGGUGAAAUGCGUUGAUAUCGACAGGAACGCCGAUGGCGAAAGCAGAAUGCUGGUCCUUUUCUGACGCUGAGGCGCGAAAGCCAGGGGAGCAAACGGGAUUAGAUACCCCGGUAGUCCUGGCCUUAAACGAUGGGGCACUAGGUAGUGGGCUCGACCUGGGCGCACUGCCGCAGCGAAAGUCCUAAGUGCCCCGCCUGGGGAGUAUGGUCGCAAGGCUGAAACUCAAAGGAAUUGACGGGGGCUCACACAAGCGGUGGAGCAUGUGGCUUAAUUCGAGGCUACGCGAAGAACCUUACCCAGGCUUGACAUGUGCGAAAGCGCCAAGUGUACCUGGGGGAAACCUCAGGGAACCCCGCAAGGGGGGACUUGGUACAGGUGCUGCAUGGCUGUCGUCAGCUCGUGUCGUGAGAUGUCGGGUUAAGUCCUAUAACGAGCGAAACCCUUGCCCUUAGUUGCUACGCAAGGGCACUCUAGGGGGACUGCCGGUGUCAAACCGGAGGAAGGCGGGGACGACGUCAAGUCCUCAUGGCCCUUACGCCUGGGGCUGCACACGUGCUACAAUGCGGCAGACAAAGGGACGCCGGCCCGCAAGGGUUAGCCAAUCCCAAAAAAUGUCGCUCAGUUCAGAUUGCGGGCUGCAACUCGCCCGCAUGAAGCUGGAAUCGCUAGUAAUCGCGGAUCAGCAACGCCGCGGUGAAUGUGUUCCUGAGCCUUGUACACACCGCCCGUCAAGCCACGAAAGGGAGGGGCAUCCGAAGUCGUCGCGCUAUCCGCAAGGAAGCAGACGCCGAAGAUGAAACUCCUGAUUGGGACUAAGUCGUAACAAGGUAACC
This 1495-nucleotide ribosomal RNA is filed under the name uncultured bacterium. Its description in RNAcentral is "bacterial SSU rRNA". It matches the Rfam family "Bacterial small subunit ribosomal RNA". The record is from RNAcentral.